Long non-coding RNA from Musa acuminata AAA Group (dessert banana), 344 nucleotides. RefSeq lists it as uncharacterized. The transcript has 3 exons. The record is from RefSeq and is a predicted model, not a curated record. Lineage: Eukaryota; Viridiplantae; Streptophyta; Magnoliopsida; Zingiberales; Musaceae.
GGUGGUCAUGAGCGAGGGCAUAGGAAAAGGAUAGCAAAUCACCAUGGAAAUUUCUACAAUAUUUUGUUGAUCAGCGACGAUCGCCAUAAUGAAGUGCUUGUGGCGAAGGCCUUGCCAGAAAUUUUUCCAUCACUCACCACCAGCGAUGCCAAAAAACUGUUCUGGAAGUCACAGGAGAACUGCUAUGCAAUCAUCUUUGUCACGCAUUCCAAAGAGCUUGCUGAGAUCUACGUGCGGAGAAUGAUGUCAUGGGGACUGCACGCGGCGAUGGAGCCAGAACUUUUCAUACGGGCCAAGUGAGUUGAAGGUACUGCAGUCAUGCUAAAUUUUGUUCCACACGUUGA